UACAGAGGUGGCAAGCGUUGUUCGGAAUUACUGGGCGUAAAGGGCGAGUAGGCGGCUUCCUAAGUCAGACGUGAAAUCCCCCGGCUUAACCUGGGAACUGCGUCUGAUACUGGGAGGCUAGAGUAUGGGAGAGGGAGGUAGAAUUCCAGGUGUAGCGGUGAAAUGCGUAGAUAUCUGGAGGAAUACCGGUGGCGAAGGCGGCAUCCUGGACCAUUUACUGACGCUGAGGCGCGAAAGCUAGGGGAGCAAACGGG
Molecule: ribosomal RNA, 254 nt
Filed under: uncultured bacterium
Lineage: Bacteria
Description: partial 16S ribosomal RNA
Rfam family: Bacterial small subunit ribosomal RNA
Source: RNAcentral